GCGGGGCCGGGGCUCGUCGUCUGACUUCCGGCCGGCCGUUGUCUGGCGGCGCGGGCGAGUCAUCCUCGGGCCUGGCCGCCGGGCCCCGCUUCCCUCCGCCGCCUCCGCGCCCCCCGCCUCGGCGCGGGGGGUCCAGGUGCCCGGGGCGGGCUGCCCCCGGUACCCCGCGCUCAGGCUCGGGCUGCGCGGCCCGAUGCGGCACAGCCUAAGCCAGCUGCUGGCGGCGUCCGGCGCGGACUCCCCGGCCCACGAGGGCGAGGCGGGGGCCGAGGGCGGGGGCCGUGCGCCGUCGCCCCGGGAGAUGGAGGAGGAGGCGCUGGGCCGUGUCCCGGGGGAGGAGGCGGAGGACAUGGACUUUCUGUCGGGGCUGGAGCUGGCCGACCUGCUGGACCCGCGGCCGCCGGCCUGGCCCCCGGAGCCCGGGCCCGGCUCGCCCGGGCCGCUGUCGUCGUCGGGCGGCGGCUCGGAGGGCGGCGGCCCGUGGCGGGCGGACGAGGACGACGAGGCCGCGGCCGCCGAGAUGCAGCGCUUCGCCGACCUGCUGCAGCGGCUCCUCAACGGCAUCGGCGGUGGCGGCGGCGGCGGCGGCGGCGGCGAGAAGCGGCGGCGGAAGGGCGGCGGCGGCGACGGCGGCGGCGGCGACGGGCUGGCGGCCACCCGGAGCCCGCGCAAGGCGGCGGCGGCGGCGGCGCGCCUCAACCGCCUGAAGAAGAAGGAGUACGUGAUGGGGCUGGAGAGCCGCGUGCGCGGCCUGGCCGCCGAGAACCAGGAGCUGCGGGCGGAGAACCGGGAGCUGGGCCAGCGCGUGCAGGCGCUGCAGGAGGAGAGCCGCUACCUGCGCGCCGUGCUGGCCAACGAGAGCGGCCUGGCGCGCCUGCUGGGCCGCCUGAGCGGCGUGGGGCUGCGCCUCACCUCCUCGCUGCUGCGCGAUGCGCCCUGCGACCACGACUACGCGCGGCCCAUGGGCGCUCGGCCGCCUGAGGGACCCCCCGACGACGAUGCACCCGGCGGCGUGUGCCUGCACGUGGACAAGGACAAGGUGUCGGUGGAGUUCUGCGCCGCGUGCGCCCGGAAGGCGGCGUCCUCGCUGAAAAUGUAGGGUCAAGUAGUCUCCUUCCCCCUCCAAACUCCCUCACACGCAGAACACCCUAGUGUGUGUGGGACCUCGGCACCGGACACGUGGCAGAGGAGAAAAAAAAAAAAUUUCUUUUUUAGGUGAUUUCCUUCCUGCCAGGCUCCGUUGUAGGGGUUACAGAACAGUCGUUCCCGCCUCCCAACCUGGUAAGGAUCCAUCUCUUCACGUAACGCUCAUGCUCGGCUGCUUAGUCUACUUUAAUGGGCAACAUCUCAAGUGUGCGUGUGUGUGUGGUUUUUUUCUUCUCUUUUGUUUUGGAAGGCGGGAGGGGAAAUCUGCUUUGGGCCCUGUCCACCCUGGAAACAGACUUGUGCUGGUCAAUCAUGUCUUGAAGAUGCUUCUUUGGUUGAAAUAGCUGUUAAUGUGUCCCCUGUUCAGACUUGCGUGUACCUAGCUCUUCUGUCCCCAGUGUGGACAUGGCCUUGGAUGACAUCGGUUCCAACUGUACACUGACAGCUGCUAAUAGAGAUAACAGUUUGGAGACAGUGACACAGGUGAAGUUGAAUGGAAGUUCCGAGUUGUACAAGGUGCAAAUUGGAAUUCCAGUUUUAGAACAACUUUCCAGAGGUUCCUAAGAAGUCUGGGGCAUGCACAAAUGUGGUAGUUUCGAUAGUUACUUCUCUGGAGCCGGCAGAAAUCUUAAAAUAUCUCCAAGAAUGCUUUUUUAAGUUUUCAGUAGAAGAUCUAGAAAUGAUACCUUUUAAGAUGGACAGAUUUGACUAUCACUAGUAGAAAGGUUGGAAGUUAACAUGCCUAAUCAGACUCCCGCGUUAGUUAAUUGAAGGAAGACUAAGAAUGGUAAAUGAGACCUUUGAGGACCAGCACAGUGAUUACCUUAUCACUGAGUAUGAAUAAAUUGUUGAAGACCUUUAUUUUUGUUGUAUUAAAAUUUUAGGUUAAAUUCAUGUAUGAUUAAGAUAUAGAAGGUUUUGAAAUGUGAAUGAAAACGUGUAAAGUGAGGCUUCACAAAGAAUCUUAUUCUCAAGGCUAUUUAUUAUCAAGGGUAUUUGUCCUAUUUACAAAUUGCUUUGAAAAUGGAGGGCUUCUGGCUACUUAAUGACAUAAUUGACACUUUCUCCGAAGACUGGACAUAUUCUUCCCUUGAAUUCUUUCCUAAUUGCUGUCGUCCAAGUGUGUGACUUGAGUUAUGAAGUACUUCAGGAUAAAAGGCAUUAAAUUCUUUGUGAAACAUCACUGUUUGAUAAAGUUAUACGUAUUUAGUAUCCUUGUUUUUCUUUGUGCUAAAGUGGAUACAGCUGUUGGGGCAGAAGAGACGGGACCAGCUGCUGGCCACAUUUCCUGCUUUAUUUUAAAAGGUAGUAUAAGAAAUGAGGAAAAAGAGGUAAUAUCAGGGCUUCUGCUGUCUUUUAUUUUAAAUUGUUCAUGAUUAAGUAUUUUCCAGCAGUCCAAAGAUGUAAGUUAUCUUACACAUAAAAUGUUUUAUUUUGCUGUUAUUUGGUUAUGAAAAUGGAAUUCUUGUUCUUGCACACCUGUAAAUGUUCUGUUGCUAGGUAAUACAAUUUGAGACCUAACUUGGUCUCUGGUUUCCAGUGCAUCACAUCAUAUUUUGUAAAAAAAAAAAAAAAAAACCAUCUACUGCACUUGAGCAUGAAUGGGUAAUAGCCAAACUCAAAAGCUGGAGUGAUGAACCUGCUUAUACAAGUGCAGGACCAAGCCCCUCACAAUGCAGCUGCAUGAAUUUUUAGUGCCUACUGAAUUUUAUAUAUAUAUAUCUAUAUAGGGAGAUAUAGAUAUAGAUAUAUAUAAACCAAAAGUAGUUGGAAAAGUUAUUUGAAAUGACUAACUUGUGCUAUCUUUAUGGAAUAUGUUAAAUGUAGCUUUUUGAAACAGAAGCCUUGAAUUGAAAUUAAUACUUGAACAUUUUGUAUCUAUUUCUUUGUAUAUAAUUUUGUGCAGUACCAAUGACAAAACUAUGGUGUCAUAAUAAAACCAGGUUUGUUGAUCUUUCAGUUAUGUGCUCAAAGAAUUUAUUCAUCUCUAACAUGACAUUGGAACAUAAUGGAUGAAAAUAGGAAAAAAAUGAUUGUUGUUAAUGCUGACUGUGGGUCUUAAAAGGUUCUGGAAGCAGUAAGUGCGUUUUACUUAAAAAAAAAUGCCAUUCCCUUGGAAUAUUUUCUUCCUAAUGUCUGUGCUAUUUUCCCUGCUUUACUCAAAGUUUUGGGGUUGGGGUAGUCAAAGGUUUCUGAAUUGGGAUGCUUUGAAAUUCCAAGUGUAGAUUUUUAGAUUGUCAUUUUAUAAAUGGCAUUUUGGGGUAAUACUUGAUUAAGAACUUUUGAAAAUGGAGAUUAGUGUUGCCUAUUUUUAAAGCUGCUUUGUUAGAUUUCUUGUGUUUUAACUGUCAUCUUAGUUUUCAUUUCAUUCUUUUCCUUUCCUCCCUCCCCCCCAAUUUUGGUGACUUUAGUGAUUUUGUCAUUUUUACAUCAACUUCAUGGUCUUGUUUUUUUACAUGGUAUCGCAUGUAUUUAGGACCUAUCUAACCAGGGACUUUAAGUAAAAUUUGGUCAUAUUUAUGUGUAAGCACAUUUUACUGUAAAUGUUGAGUUUUUGAAUUUGCAGUAGAUUUGUUUAUUUCAGUGUGUAGUAAACAAUAUAUUUAAAAGUGUCCUAUUCACUACUUGUUAAUUAAAAAGUUAUGAUUAAUAUGAAGCUGUUGUCUUACUAUUUUUAGAAAGUUGUGUUCUGAAUGACUAGCAGUCAAAGGUCUCGAGAAUUUAAUAUGGGCUCUUUUAAAAGUUUUAGUAUUAGUGAUCUUGUAAUUGAUUAAAAAAAAUUUAAUAUUCAGGAGAUUUUUUUGUUUUGUUUUUUUUAACCUCUUUGUGCCUCUAUGGCAAAAUGAUGCAGAACUUUUAGCUUUGAAAUAUUUGUCUUCUGAUGGUGACAGGACUCAUACAGUGAUUAAACUAACACAUCAUACUGACCUAUUUUUAUCAUACUGAUUUAGUGUUUCUGCACUUCUUGACCAGAUAUAAAAUCCACAUUUGUUAAAAUGUAAUCACACCUGAUAUAAUCCUAAAGAAAGUGUUCAAAAUAUUUUAAAUGUCCAUUUUAUAAUCACUAAAUUUAUCUCUUUCUCUUCUCUUUAAACAGCUUAGCAGUGUCUGCAAAAAACGAAUCUUUUCCUACAACCUGUUAACUGACUGGACUGAUGGUAACAGAGUAAUUGUGGGAGCCAUGUCGGUCAAAAAAUUGGCAUCUGCUGAAAAAAAAUGAAUGCCAUUUUCAAGUUCCCAAAUUACUUCUAAUUUCACUUUCCAGAAAUGGAGAUAUGAAAAGAUUCUCUGGAAUCCUUAAAAGACUUAAUAGAGAUACAUGAGACUAAGUUAAUUUGGAAUGAAAUUACACUUUUUUCUUUGUCUUU
This is an RNA transcript of Sorex araneus (European shrew), 4514 nucleotides long. It is a transcript of the gene named CREB/ATF bZIP transcription factor, with no coding region annotated. Lineage: Eukaryota; Metazoa; Chordata; Mammalia; Eulipotyphla; Soricidae. The record is from RefSeq and is a predicted model, not a curated record. The transcript has 2 exons.